GCCGUACCAACAGUGUGCCUGUGUUAACUGGAGUAAAACAAAAGAUGCUAAUAUGUUGGAUAUCUUUUUUUAAUGAUAUCUGACAUAGGACCAGGAUGAAGGAGAGGGCUUGGAGCAAAUGAAACAUUGGGGAGGUGAAAAAAAGGCUAGGGGUAUGGAUAAAGGAUGGGUGGGAGGCGGGAGGGUUGGAUAGAGGAUGGAGGCUGGGUUGUAUACAGGUCGUGGUGAGGGACAUGAAAAUGAAGAUGGCAA
Long non-coding RNA from Haliotis rubra (blacklip abalone), 252 nucleotides. RefSeq lists it as uncharacterized. The transcript has 2 exons. The record is from RefSeq and is a predicted model, not a curated record. Lineage: Eukaryota; Metazoa; Mollusca; Gastropoda; Lepetellida; Haliotidae.